Molecule: ribosomal RNA, 468 nt
Filed under: uncultured bacterium
Lineage: Bacteria
Description: partial 16S ribosomal RNA
Rfam family: Bacterial small subunit ribosomal RNA
Source: RNAcentral
GACGAACGCUGGCGGCGUGCUUAACACAUGCAAGUCGAACGGAAAGGCCCUGCUUUUGUGGGGUGCUCGAGUGGCGAACGGGUGAGUAACACGUGAGUAACCUGCCCUUGACUUUGGGAUAACUUCAGGAAACUGGGGCUAAUACCGGAUAGGAGCUCCUGCUGCAUGGUGGGGGUUGGAAAGUUUCGGCGGUUGGGGAUGGACUCGCGGCUUAUCAGCUUGUUGGUGGGGUAGUGGCUGACCAAGGCUUUGACGGGUAGCCGGCCUGAGAGGGUGACCGGCGACAUUGGGACUAAGAUACGGCCCAGACUCCUACGGGAGGCAGCGGUGGGAAAUAUUGCACAAUGAGCGGAAGCCUGAUGCGGCAACGCCGCGUGCGGGAUGACGGCCUUCGGGUUGUAAACCGCUUUCGCCUGUGACGAAGCGUGUGUGACGGUAAUGGGUAAAGAAGCACCGGCUAACUACGUG